Molecule: ribosomal RNA, 116 nt
Filed under: Microbacterium sp. XT11
Lineage: Bacteria; Bacillati; Actinomycetota; Actinomycetes; Micrococcales; Microbacteriaceae
Also listed under: 2 other names
Source: RNAcentral
CGGCGGCCAUAGCGUGAGGGAAACGCCCGGUCACAUUCCGAACCCGGAAGCUAAGCCUCACAGCGCCGAUGGUACUGCAGGGGGGACCCUGUGGGAGAGUAGGACACCGCCGGACU